Molecule: ribosomal RNA, 497 nt
Filed under: uncultured bacterium
Lineage: Bacteria
Description: partial 16S ribosomal RNA
Rfam family: Bacterial small subunit ribosomal RNA
Source: RNAcentral
GAUGAACGCUGGCGGCGUGCCUAAUACAUGCCAGUCGAGCGAACAGACGAGGAGCUUGCUCCUCUGACGUUAGCGGCGGACGGGUGAGUAACACGUGGAUAACCUACCUAUAAGACUGGGAUAACUUCGGGAAACCGGAGCUAAUACCGGAUAAUAUAUUGAACCGCAUGGUUCAAUAGUGAAAGACGGUUUUGCUGUCACUUAUAGAUGGAUCCGCGCCGCAUUAGCUAGUUGGUAAGGUAACGGCUUACCAAGGCAACGAUGCGUAGCCGACCUGAGAGGGUGAUCGGCCACACUAGAACUGAGACACGGUCCAGACUCCUACGGGAGGCAGCAGUAGGGAAUCUUCCGCAAUGGGCGAAAGCUUGACGGAGCAACGCCGCGUGAGUGAUGAAGGUCUUCGGAUCGUAAAACUCUGUUAUUAGGGAAGAACAAAUGUGUAAGUAACUAUGCACGUCUUGACGGUACCUAAUCAGAAAGCCACGGCUAACUACGUG